CGACCUUGAAAUACCACCCUUUAAUGUUUGAUGUUCUAACGUGGACCCGUAAUCCGGGUUGCGGACAGUGUCUGGUGGGUAGUUUGACUGGGGCGGUCUCCUCCUAAAGAGUAACGGAGGAGCACGAAGGUUGGCUAAUCCUGGUCGGACAUCAGGAGGUUAGUGCAAUGGCAUAAGCCAGCUUGACUGCGAGCGUGACGGCGCGAGCAGGUGCGAAAGCAGGUCAUAGUGAUCCGGUGGUUCUGAAUGGAAGGGCCAUCGCUCAACGGAUAAAAGGUACUCCGGGGAUAACAGGCUGAUACCGCCCAAGAGUUCAUAUCGACGGCGGUGUUUGGCACCUCGAUGUCGGCUCAUCACAUCCUGGGGCUGAAGUAGGUCCCAAGGGUAUGGCUGUUCGCCAUUUAAAGUGGUACGCGAGCUGGGUUUAGAACGUCGUGAGACAGUUCGGUCCCUAUCUGCCGUGGGCGCUGGAGAACUGAGGGGGGCUGCUCCUAGUACGAGAGGACCGGAGUGGACGCAUCACUGGUGUUCGGGUUGUCAUGCCAAUGGCACUGCCCGGUAGCUAAAUGCGGAAGAGAUAAGUGCUGAAAGCAUCUAAGCACGAAACUUGCCCCGAG
This 617-nucleotide ribosomal RNA is filed under the name Salmonella enterica subsp. enterica serovar Infantis. RNAcentral describes it as "partial 23S ribosomal RNA". It matches the Rfam family "Bacterial large subunit ribosomal RNA", at positions 2187 to 2803 of the family's 2925-position model. The record is from RNAcentral. Lineage: Bacteria; Pseudomonadati; Pseudomonadota; Gammaproteobacteria; Enterobacterales; Enterobacteriaceae.